GGAAACACCGCAGCUGCCUGUUCUCACGACCCAGGUCACCUGUGGGCAGGGGCUCCCUGCACCCCUCCGUAUUUAUGUCCCGGGAGGGCAGCCCAGAGAGCCAAGGUGGCAGGGCCCCCGUGUCCCUCAGGCUGGCUUGAGUACCCAGCCUUGCAACCCCUGUUUCCAGGGAGAGGAACUAAACCUUUUAUUCUUGUGAUUUCCCAGGUUCAGGGAGGGGAGCCUCUGGAGUAGAGCUGGAAUGUGAACGUGGUGCAGCAUCCAGAACAUCCUAAGUGUUGACCCGCACGGAAGCUUCAUCUUGGUUGAGCCUUUAAAGCGCCUGCAUGGAGUGGGUAAAGGACAGCAUCAAAGGCCCUCGGGUAAGAGAUGCUCUCAGGAGGCUGCAGGAAAUACCACGGCCAAAGCGAGGUGGCGCAGGAGGGCGGCUCUGCAGGAUGUGCAAACAGCGCCGCUGGUGGAGAAGACCAGGGUAGAUGGCUGGGACCCGUGCUCUGACCCCGGUGAGAAUGUGCGGCCUGCAGGCUCCAAUCCCAGGGGCCAGCCAGGCCUGGGUUCCGAACCCGAGUGCGGCUGCCACAGGCAGGAUUCCCGCCCAGGAUCCGGGACCCGCAGCUCAGUCACCCACACCUGCGCGGCCACGGAACCUGCAGCCCAGAACAUUGUUCCUUCUCCACGAAAGCUUUCUGCUUUGGUGCAGGGUCACCGACACGGUGGAUGUACAGAGGACAGAAUGAGACGUCUGUGCUGCUUGGAAAACGUGAGGGCUGAUUCCAAAGCUGAGGUAGUACUUACCAUCGUGGGAUGGCCCACAAACGCUGACAGCGGUAGCAGGGUCUCAGUGUGACAUGCGGGACGUCACCCGUCAGUAUUUUAGCCUCUGUUUGCCCUCCCAGGACAUAGACACUUCUUACUCCACUGGCUUAUAAAGAUUGAGGAAGUGUAAUCAUUUACAAACAAAACAAAGUCUAAGCUAAUUAAAACAUUUAUUUUGAGGGGC
Long non-coding RNA from Herpailurus yagouaroundi (jaguarundi), 1000 nucleotides. RefSeq lists it as uncharacterized. The record is from RefSeq and is a predicted model, not a curated record. NCBI's taxonomy places the organism in Eukaryota, Metazoa, Chordata, Mammalia, Carnivora, Felidae. The transcript has 3 exons.